This 253-nucleotide ribosomal RNA is filed under the name uncultured bacterium. Its description in RNAcentral is "partial 16S ribosomal RNA". It matches the Rfam family "Bacterial small subunit ribosomal RNA", at positions 524 to 776 of the family's 1533-position model. The record is from RNAcentral.
UACGGGGGGGGCAAGCGUUGUUCGGAAUUACUGGGCGUAAAGGGCUCGUAGGUGGCCAACUAAGUCAGACGUGAAAUCCCUCGGCUUAACCGGGGAACUGCGUCUGAUACUGGAUGGCUUGAGUCCGGAAGAGGUGGGUGGAAUUCCUAGUGUAGAGGUGAAAUUCGUAGAUAUUAGGAAGAACACCGGUGGCGAAGGCGGCCCACUGGUCCGGUACUGACGCUGAGGUGCGAAAGCGUGGGGAGCAAACAGG